UAACCAGGGAAUUUGCUAUUGCACCACAUGUGUUUUUCUUUGAAACAAACUUGCUUUGGCGGUGGGCCCAGCCUGCCGCCAGAGGUCUAAACUUACAACCAAUUUUUUAUCAACUUGUCACACCAGAUUAUUACUAAUAGUCAAAACUUUCAACAACGGAUCUCUUGGUUCUCGCAUCGAUGAAGAACGCAGCGAAAUGCGAUACGUAAUAUGAAUUGCAGAUAUUCGUGAAUCAUCGAAUCUUUGAACGCACAUUGCGCCCUCUGGUAUUCCGGAGGGCAUGCCUGUUUGAGCGUCGUUUCUCCCUCAAACCGCUGGGUUUGGUGUUGAGCAAUACGACUUGGGUUUGCUUGAAAGACGGUAGUGGUAAGGCGGGAUCGCUUUGACAAUGGCUUAGGUCUAACCAAAAACAUUGCUUGCGGCGGUAACGUCUACCACGUAUAUCUUCAAACUUUGACCUCAAAUCAGGUAGGACUACCCGCUGAACUUAAGCAUAUCAAUAAGCCGGAGGAA
RNAcentral lists this ribosomal RNA (513 nucleotides) under Candida albicans. RNAcentral describes it as "eukaryotic LSU rRNA". The stretch from base 145 to 298 matches the Rfam family "5.8S ribosomal RNA". The record is from RNAcentral. Lineage: Eukaryota; Fungi; Ascomycota; Pichiomycetes; Serinales; Debaryomycetaceae.